UGGGGAAUCUUGCGCAAUGCGCGAAAGCGUGACGCAGCAACGCCGCGUGGGGGAAGAAGGCCUUCGGGUUGUAAACCUCUUUCAGGAGGGACGAAGCUCCGGGAGCGAAUAGCUUUCCGGAGUGACGGUACCUUCAGAAGAAGCCCCGGCUAACUACGUGCCAGCAGCCGCGGUAAUACGUAGGGGGCAAGCGUUGUCCGGAAUCAUUGGGCGUAAAGAGCGCGUAGGCGGCUGGAAUAGUCCGGUGUGAAAUCCACAGGCUUAACCUGUGAAUGCCGCUGGAAACUGUCUGGCUAGAGUCCGGAAGGGGCGAGUGGAAUUCCUGGUGUAGCGGUGAAAUGCGCAGAUAUCAGGAGGAACACCAAUGGCGAAGGCAGCUCGCUGGGACGGUACUGACGCUGAGGCGCGAAAGCGUGGGGAGCGAACAG
RNAcentral lists this ribosomal RNA (428 nucleotides) under uncultured bacterium. RNAcentral describes it as "bacterial SSU rRNA". It matches the Rfam family "Bacterial small subunit ribosomal RNA", at positions 355 to 775 of the family's 1533-position model. The record is from RNAcentral.